This 427-nucleotide long non-coding RNA is filed under the name Nicotiana benthamiana. Its description in RNAcentral is "long non-coding RNA (NBEN_LNC032081)". Lineage: Eukaryota; Viridiplantae; Streptophyta; Magnoliopsida; Solanales; Solanaceae. The record is from RNAcentral.
UUAAAAUGGAACGAACUGGAUAACUUCUUACAUUGCUAGACUUUGGGUACAUCUUAUAUUUCCCCAAUGAAAUGGUGUGAUGCUGAUUCAUCUGAAGUACUUAUUCCUUACUGGUGCAAUUGAUUCAACUUCAUCCUCCCUUGACAGACCUUAGAUACUUGGAUACUUCCCUUCCCUUGGUGAAAGGAACAAGAAUUCCAGUAACUUUUACUGUUAUUUUAAACUUGGUGUCCAAAAUGGAGUAUUUUCUUUUGUAAAUAUUUCCUCACCUCGUAUAUAACAAAUAGUUUCAAACACUUUUCUUUGGCAAUAAUACUGCUAUUGGUAAUACAAGCAACAACCACUUUUGUCCUCUUUCUAUUUUGUCUUCCAUUUUCCCAAUGCUGCUGCCGUUAUACCUCGUAAUUCAAGAAAGACACAUUUAGGC